AGAGUUUGAUUCUGGCUCAGAAUCAACGCUGGCGGCGCGCCUAACACAUGCAAGUCGAACGAGAAAGUGGAGCAAUCCAUGAGUAAAGUGGCGUACGGGUGAGUAACACGUGGAUCAUCUACCUUUUAGUGGGGAAUACCGCUGGGAAACCGGCGACAAUACCGCAUAAUCUCGAGAGAGGAAAGCCGCAAGGCGCUGAAAGAGGAGUCCGCGGUCGAUUAGCUAGUUGGUGAGGUAAUGGCUCACCAAGGCUGUGAUCGAUAGCCGGCCUGAGAGGGCACACGGCCACACUGGCACUGAAACACGGGCCAGACUCCUACGGGAGGCAGCAGUGGGGAAUCUUGCACAAUGGGGGCAACCCUGAUGCAGCGACGCCGCGUGAGCGAUGAAGCCCUUCGGGGUGUAAAGCUCUUUCGGCAGGGACGAUAAUGACGGUACCUGCAGAAGCAGCUGCGGCUAACUACGUGCCAGCAGCCGCGGUAAUACGUAGGCAGCAAGCGUUGUUCGGAGUUACUGGGCGUAAAGGGUGCGUAGGCGGUCCUAUAAGUAUGGUGUGAAAUCUCCCGGCUCAACUGGGAGGGUGCGCCGUAGACUGUGGGACUAGAGUGUGGGAGAGGAAAGUGGAA
RNAcentral lists this ribosomal RNA (626 nucleotides) under uncultured bacterium. RNAcentral describes it as "bacterial SSU rRNA". It matches the Rfam family "Bacterial small subunit ribosomal RNA", at positions 8 to 666 of the family's 1533-position model. The record is from RNAcentral.